UUGUCAGGGUCUACAUGCUCGUAGAUGAGUUGUAUCAUAGAUACAAUAGCCGCAUCAGGGAUUUCUUUGAUCUAAAAAAGUUUAUCAUCUAACCGAAAGAUACGCAAAGAUAUCUCCGGACGUUUAGAUAAUAAGACUUUAAAGACUCAUAAGAAAACCCAUAAGGUCUUUUUCCAUGAUCCUGAAAAUCAAAGUAAACAAAGAGAAACAUAAGAAUGAUAAUAUAAGAAAAAAGUAAAAAUUGUGGAAAAAUAAACGAAUUAUAACAUAUAAUUCCUCACAAAAAACAUAACAUCUUAUUCAAAAAAAUAAGAAAUAUUAGAACUUAUAAAGAAAGUGAUAUAAAUGCGAAAAGAUUAAAAAGUCUAACCAAAGUGAAAACUUUGGUUAGACACAAAGUAUUAAAAUAUUCUUGUGAAACAAUAAUAGCAAAAACAAGUCUCGUAAACUAAGUAUAAAUACAAUAGCCUCUCAAAUACGAAAGAUUCGGGAAUAAAUGGAUUUUAAAGCAUCUAUAUUAGCAAGAUCGAUAAUUACUCCUAAAAUAUUGUUUAUUGAAUGUGAUCAUAUCAAGUCUAACUUAAUUUUAUUAUUAAACCUUCCUAAAAUGAGAGCCUACUCUAUGCUUUAAAAAACCUGAUAUGACUCCUAUAAACUUUUUAUAUUUUUAUAAUCCAUCAAUCUAUUCAAUCCUAGUCCGUUUCAUUAAACUAAUUAUGGUAAAAAUUGAAUGUAUUGACUCCUAAAUAAUGAUUUUUAAGUUAUCCUAAUUAAAUAUCUACCGUUAUACACCCUCCUUCCACUAACCAGAUCUUAACCUAGGUAAAACUUAUAUGCUAUAACAUAUAACAUAUCCACACAUAUGCAGCUUACUGGUUCCAUCAACCAGACCCCGUAAAGGUACCAGACCCCAUUAAGGUACCGAAUUCCUCAUAAUAGGAAACAAACAAACCAUUCUUAAUAGCCUGCGCAACUCAUAUGUUAUGAAACUUCAUCCAUCCACCGGAAAUUGUUGCACACCUUCGAACUGUAGGAUACCUUUGAAAAGCUAACAGAUAAUAACACGUUAUAGACAACACUAAAAACAUCUGAUCUAAGUCAAGAAACUACCAAAACAUCACUGAAAAACAGUCAAUUCAAAAUCCACAGUUAAACCCACUCACACAAGCGAAAAAACAAUUGCCCACAAUACAAUGAUAGAAAAUACUGCUCCCCAAAUAACAGAUCCCAGACAAAAUAUUACCAAGUAAACCAUGCAGUUGACUUCAAAUUACAGCAUAGUCUCAUAAAAACCAAGAGAACACUUAAAACAAUAACAAACAAAGAGGGUAUUUGCACAAAUCAAUUAACAAGAAGAAUAAUCAAUCAAGUACUGACAUCAAAAAUUCCAAUCCCUGAUAUCCUUUCUCAUUGCGACAUUUGAUCGAACAUAUGGCAGGCAAUAGAGAAAGACACACAUAAGUCGAAAUACAGAUAAGUUUCAAGUUACCUGACAAGACUAUACAAAUAAUGAAGCAAUCUCUUACUUGGUUUUGACCAUACAAAACUUAUCUCUCUGUCUCGGGCUGAGACCUCCUCCGUUGCCGUUCUCGACGGCGAGGAUUCCGUCAGCUCC
Molecule: long non-coding RNA, 1615 nt
Filed under: Daucus carota (carrot)
Lineage: Eukaryota; Viridiplantae; Streptophyta; Magnoliopsida; Apiales; Apiaceae
Description: long non-coding RNA (DCAR_LNC005454)
Source: RNAcentral